GCGGGAGUGGUGGAAUCGGUAGACACGCAGGAUUUAGGUUCCUGUGCCCCAGGCGUGAGGGUUCGAGUCCCUCCUUCCGCACCG
This 84-nucleotide transfer RNA is filed under the name Curtobacterium flaccumfaciens. Its description in RNAcentral is "tRNA-Leu". It matches the Rfam family "tRNA". Rfam says of the family: Transfer RNA (tRNA) molecules are approximately 80 nucleotides in length. Their secondary structure includes four short double-helical elements and three loops (D, anti-codon, and T loops). Further hydrogen bonds mediate the characteristic L-shaped molecular structure. tRNAs have two regions of fundamental functional importance: the anti-codon, which is responsible for specific mRNA codon recognition, and the 3' end, to which the tRNAs corresponding amino acid is attached (by aminoacyl-tRNA synthetases). tRNAs cope with the degeneracy of the genetic code in two manners: having more than one tRNA (with a specific anti-codon) for a particular amino acid; and 'wobble' base-pairing, i.e. permitting non-standard base-pairing at the 3rd anti-codon position. The record is from RNAcentral. Lineage: Bacteria; Bacillati; Actinomycetota; Actinomycetes; Micrococcales; Microbacteriaceae. RNAcentral also lists the same sequence under 34 other names.